RNAcentral lists this ribosomal RNA (253 nucleotides) under uncultured bacterium. RNAcentral describes it as "partial 16S ribosomal RNA". It matches the Rfam family "Bacterial small subunit ribosomal RNA", at positions 524 to 776 of the family's 1533-position model. The record is from RNAcentral.
GACAGAGGGUGCAAGCGUUGUUCGGAAUUACUGGGCGUAAAGCGCGUGUAGGCGGUUUCCUAAGUCAGGUGUGAAAGCCCCGGGCUCAACCCGGGAAGUGCACUUGAAACUGGGAGGCUAGAGUACUGGAGAGGUUGGUGGAAUUCUCGGUGUAGAGGUGAAAUUCGUAGAUAUCGAGAGGAACACCGGUGGCGAAGGCGGCCAACUGGACAGAUACUGACGCUGAGACUCGAAAGCGUGGGGAGCAAACAGG